Molecule: ribosomal RNA, 471 nt
Filed under: bacterium enrichment culture clone TC60a_5189
Lineage: Bacteria
Description: bacterial SSU rRNA
Rfam family: Bacterial small subunit ribosomal RNA
Source: RNAcentral
GACGAACGCUGGCGGCGUGCCUAACACAUGCAAGUCGAGCGGGGAUAUACGGAAGGUUUACCGGAAGUAUAUCCUAGCGGCGGACGGGUGAGUAACGCGUGGGUAACCUACCUCAUACAGGGGGAUAACACAGGGAAACCUGUGCUAAUACCGCAUAACAUAACGGGGCGGCAUCGUCCUGUUAUCAAAGGAGAAAUCCGGUAUGAGAUGGGUCCGCGUCCGAUUAGCUGGUUGGUGAGGUAACGGCUCACCAAGGCGACGAUCGGUAGCCGAACUGAGAGGUUGGUCGGCCACAUUGGGACUGAGACACGGCCCAGACUCCUACGGGAGGCAGCAGUGGGGAAUAUUGCGCAAUGGGGGAAACCCUGACGCAGCGACGCCGCGUGAGCGAAGAAGGCCUUGGUCGUAAGACUCGAUAGUGUGGGAAGAAUAGAUGACGGUACCACACGAAGACCCGGCGUAACUACGUGC